This is a long non-coding RNA of Bubalus bubalis (water buffalo), 2201 nucleotides long. RefSeq lists it as uncharacterized. The transcript is spliced from 4 exons. The record is from RefSeq and is a predicted model, not a curated record. NCBI's taxonomy places the organism in Eukaryota, Metazoa, Chordata, Mammalia, Artiodactyla, Bovidae.
AAUCCCAUGGAGGGAGGAGCCUGGUAGGCUACAGUCCAUGGUGUCGCAAAGAGUCGGACACGACUGAGCGACUUCACUUCAAUCCCUUGACGUGUGUUGACUUUUUAAAUUCUUACAACAGCCCUGUGACGUAAGAACUCUUACUAUGCCCAUUUAUUUAUGGGGAAGUUAAGGCUUAGAGAAGCUUUGCUUUCAAAGAAUUUCAUUACUGUAUAGUAUCCCUCUCAUAAUCAGAGAAGCUGUGUAUCAGCUAUCAUCAUAGCUUGUUUUAUUGUAAGAAUACACUCUAUAAGGGUGGAAGAGGAUGAGAUGGUUAAAUAGCAUCGCCAACUCAAUGGACAUGAACUUGAGCAACCUCUAGGAGACAAUGGAGACCAGGGAAGCCUGGCAUGCUACAAUCUACAAGGUUGCAAAAAGUCAGACACGAUUUAGUGACUGAACAACAACAUACAGUAUAAUAUAUAAAACAUACAAAAUAUGUGUUAAUUGACUGUCUAUGCUAUUGGUAAAGCUUCUGGUCAACAGUAUGCUUUAGUAGUAAAGUUUUGGAGGAGUUCAAAGUUAUCUGUGGAUUUCCUACUGCAUGGGAGUCAGCACCCCAAUCCCCUACAUAUGGGAGGAUUUGUGUAUGUUAUAUGCAAAUACUAUGCCAUUUUAUAUAACAGACUUGAGCAUCUGUGGAUUUUUGAAUCUGCAGGGAUCCUGGAACCAAUGCCCCAAGGAUACUGAGAGAGGUUGUAGUUUACUUUCCCUCUCAAAUCAUGUUUGAGUAAAAUCAGCAAUCCAUGAUUCUCAUCCCCAAUUGCCAAAGAUUCCUGCCCUCCCAUCUAUGAGGCCCAGGGAUGACACUGGAGACUGAAGCUGUCCUUUAACAAAUGCUUCAGUGUUCCAUCAAAGGUGCAACUGCAAGCUUUCACUGCCUUCUUGGCAUCACAGCAUCGGAUCAGGAGAGACCCUGGUGGAGAAAUGCUGAGUCUACAAAAUGGUCCACUUCACCCAGCUUUUCACCUCUCAGCAGCAAGGAAAGCUCAUAAUCCCCUUUCACUUGCUUCAGACUAGCCCAGAAAUUUCACUAUAAUUUUAUAUGUCUGAAGACAAAGAAUUUGUUAAUCUUCUACCAAUUUGGAAUUAAGAUAAUUUGGACAGAGAUGAGACUAAAGUUACCUUUCCGUUGUUUAUGAAACUGGACUUUGCAAUGAAAAUUAAAUGUCAACUAUGUGUGAAUUUCUUUGAACCAGUUGAAUUUUAGAAAUGUUCUUCAGAUAGUUUGUCUAUACUUCUCAGAAAUAUAAAUCCAUAUAACCUCUGAUCCAGCAAUUCUAGAAAUGUAUAGUAGAGACAUACUUGCUCUUAGUGGAAGAAGUAAUAAAUGACCUAAAUGAAAGAGGAGGCUCUUUAUCUACUGAUCUGGAAUAAUCUUCAAGAUACAUUGCUAAUUCAAUAUCCUGUAAUAAACCUUAACGGAAAAGAAUAUGAAAAAGAAGAUAUCUCUGGAACUGAGUCAUUUUGCUAUAUAUCAGAAACUAACACAGCAUUGUAAAUCAGCUAUACUUCAAUUUAAAAAAGUUUUAAAGAGAGAUACAUUAUUAAAAUUGUAAGUAGAGCAACCAGUGGGUAGGACACUAAACACACCCAUUUGCUGGUGUGUGUGCAGACUACCUCUGGAAGGAUACACAGAAAAUCUGGUAGCCUUGAUUGAUUUUGGAGAUGAGACUGAAAGGCUGGAAGACAAGUAUGGAAGGCGGAUUUUUUUUUUUUUUCUUUUUUUUUUGCCUUGUGUAGCUUUUGAUCUUUUAAACAUUUUUAAACAUUGUAACUCUAAAUUUGAUUUUAAAGAUUCAAAACACUUGUUCAUUAAAAAUAUGAAUUAUCUCAUAUCUAUAGCUUGCCUCUGAGGAGAUUAAUUGAGGAUCUAAUGGAGCUGUGGGGGGGUUGGGGGGGAGACAACUUACUUUCAUUGUCUGCCUUUCACAUCUUUACUUUUUUUUUUUUUAACCAUGUGUAUCUAGGGGGAGAAAGGAAGUAUGUACCUUUAAGCAUUUUAGAUCUUCCAUAUAACUUGGUAUUUGAAGUUAUUAUAUACAUUCUUAAAUACUACAUUGAAAAAAAUCUUAUAAAGUUUUAAAAUUACAUAUUCUAAAUUUAUUCCAAUUCAAACUGACCUUUCACAUCCAUAUGAUUUUGAUGGUUUUGAUGGUUUA